GAAGUCUAACAUGUGCGCGAGUCAUUGGGCGGUAAAACCUAAAGGCGGAAUGAAAGUGAAGGAAGCUUUGCUUUCCGAGGGAGGAUGGGGACGUCGGCCCAGUACGGGCGGUCCCCCGCACUCCCGGGGCGUCUCGUUCUCACUGCGAGAAGAGGCGCACCCAGAGCGUACACGUUAGGACCCGAAAGAUGGUGAACUAUGCCUGGUCAGGACGAAGCCAGGGGAAACCCUGGUGGAGGUCCGUAGCGAUUCUGACGUGCAAAUCGAUCGUCAGAGCUGGGUAUAGGGGCGAAAGACUAAUCGAACCAUCUAGUAGCUGGUUCCUUCCGAAGUUUCCCUCAGGAUAGCUGGUGCCCGUGUGAGACGAGUCUCAUCCGGUAAAGCGAAUGAUUAGAGGCCUUGGGGCCGAAACGACCUCAACCUAUUCUCAAACUUUAAAUAGAUGAGAACUCCGGCUUGCUUGAAAGUGAAGCCGGAGACUCGGAUCUGGGUGCCCAGUGGGCCAAUUUUG
RNAcentral lists this ribosomal RNA (511 nucleotides) under Idiocarus intermedius. Its description in RNAcentral is "partial large subunit ribosomal RNA". It matches the Rfam family "Eukaryotic large subunit ribosomal RNA", at positions 670 to 1139 of the family's 3401-position model. The record is from RNAcentral. Lineage: Eukaryota; Metazoa; Arthropoda; Insecta; Hemiptera; Naucoridae.